GGAGGAGUGGCCGAGUGGUUGAUGGCACUAGUCUUGAAAACUAGCAUACCCGAAAGGGUAUCAGGGGUUCAAAUCCUCUCUCCUCCG
This 87-nucleotide transfer RNA is filed under the name candidate division WOR-1 bacterium RIFOXYA12_FULL_36_13. RNAcentral's name for it is "tRNA-Ser". It matches the Rfam family "tRNA". From Rfam's summary of the family: Transfer RNA (tRNA) molecules are approximately 80 nucleotides in length. Their secondary structure includes four short double-helical elements and three loops (D, anti-codon, and T loops). Further hydrogen bonds mediate the characteristic L-shaped molecular structure. tRNAs have two regions of fundamental functional importance: the anti-codon, which is responsible for specific mRNA codon recognition, and the 3' end, to which the tRNAs corresponding amino acid is attached (by aminoacyl-tRNA synthetases). tRNAs cope with the degeneracy of the genetic code in two manners: having more than one tRNA (with a specific anti-codon) for a particular amino acid; and 'wobble' base-pairing, i.e. permitting non-standard base-pairing at the 3rd anti-codon position. The record is from RNAcentral. Lineage: Bacteria; Bacillati. RNAcentral also lists the same sequence under 2 other names.